RNAcentral lists this ribosomal RNA (500 nucleotides) under uncultured bacterium. RNAcentral's name for it is "partial 16S ribosomal RNA". It matches the Rfam family "Bacterial small subunit ribosomal RNA", at positions 28 to 523 of the family's 1533-position model. The record is from RNAcentral.
GAUGAACGCUAGCGGCAGGCCUAAUACAUGCAAGUCGGGCGGAUGACGGGAGCUUGCUCCUUGAUUCAGCGGCGGACGGGUGAGUAAUGCCUAGGAAUCUGCCUGGUAGUGGGGGACAACGUUUCGAAAGGAACGCUAAUACCGCAUACUUCCUACGGGAGAAAGCAGGGGAACUUCGGGACUUGCGCUAUCAGAUGAGCCUAGGUCGGAUUAGGUAGUUGGUGGGGUAAUGGCUCACCAAGGCGACGAUCCGUAACUGGUCUGUGAGGAUGAUCAGUCAGACUGGAACUGAGACACGGUCCUGACUCCUACGGAAGGCAGCAGUGGGGAAGAUUGGAGAAUGGGGGAAAGCCUGAUCCAGACAUGCCGCGUGUGUGAAGAAGGUCUUCGGAUUGUAAAGCACUUUAAGUUGGGAGGAAGGGCAGUAAGCUAAUACCUUGCUGUUUUGACGUUACCGACAGAAUAAGCACCGGCUAACUCUGUGCCAGCCGCCGCUGUAA